CCCAAUGGACGGAAGUCUGAGGCAGCAACGCCGCGUGCGGGAUGAAGGCCUUCGGGUUGUAAACCGCUUUUCUGCGCGAAGAGGAAGGACGGUAGCGCAGGAAGAAGUCUCGGCUAACUACGUGCCAGCAGCCGCGGUAAAACGUAGGAGGCGAGCGUUAUCCGGAUUUACUGGGUGUAAAGCGCGUGCAGACGGUCAUGUAAGUGGUGCGUGAAAGCGCCCGGCUCAACCGGGCGAGGCCGUGCCAAACUGCGUGACUGGAGGCAGGUAGAGGCGCGUGGAAUUCCGGGUGUAGUGGUGAAAUGCGUAGAUAUCCGGAGGAACACCAGUGGCGAAGGCGGCGCGCUGGGCCUGACCUGACGCUAAGACGCGAAAGCAUGGGGAGCGAACGGGAUUAGAAACCCCGGUAGUCCAUGCUGUAAACGCUGCAGACUAGGUGUUGCGUGCGACGAGUAUGCAGUGCCGAAGCCAACGUGAUAAGUCUGCCACCUGGGGACUACGGCCGCAAGGUUAAAACUCAAAGGAAUUGACGGGGGCCCCGCACAAGCAGCGGAGCGUGUGGUUUAAUUCGAGGCUACACGAAGAACCUUACCUGGGCUUGACAUGGCGGUGGUAGGGAACCGAAAGGGGACCGACCUUCGGGAGCCGUCACAGGUGCUGCAUGGCUGUCGUCAGCUCGUGUCGUGAGAUGUUCGGUUAAGUCCGGUAACGAGCGCAACCCUCGCCGCUAGUUACAAGUGUCUAGCGGGACUGCCCGUUGAACGCGGGAGGAAGGUGGGGAUGACGUCAAGUCAGCAUGGCCUUUAUGUCCAGGGCUACA
RNAcentral lists this ribosomal RNA (820 nucleotides) under uncultured Chloroflexota bacterium. RNAcentral's name for it is "bacterial SSU rRNA". It matches the Rfam family "Bacterial small subunit ribosomal RNA", at positions 367 to 1218 of the family's 1533-position model. Lineage: Bacteria; Bacillati; Chloroflexota. The record is from RNAcentral.